AUUGAACGCUGGCGGCAUGCCUUACACAUGCAAGUCGAACGGCAGCACGGACUUCGGUCUGGUGGCGAGUGGCGAACGGGUGAGUAAUGCAUCGGAACGUGCCAUUGAGUGGGGGAUAACGUAGCGAAAGUUGCGCUAAUACCGCAUAUUCUGUGAGCAGGAAAGCAGGGGACCGCAAGGCCUUGCGCUCUUUGAGCGGCCGAUGUCAGAUUAGCUAGUUGGUGAGGUAAAGGCUUACCAAGGCGACGAUCUGUAGCGGGUCUGAGAGGAUGAUCCGCCACACUGGAACUGAGACACGGUCCAGACUCCUACGGGAGGCAGCAGUGGGGAAUUUUGGACAAUGGGCGCAAGCCUGAUCCAGCCAUGCCGCGUGCGGGAAGAAGGCC
RNAcentral lists this ribosomal RNA (386 nucleotides) under uncultured bacterium. RNAcentral's name for it is "bacterial SSU rRNA". It matches the Rfam family "Bacterial small subunit ribosomal RNA", at positions 30 to 416 of the family's 1533-position model. The record is from RNAcentral.